This 2691-nucleotide long non-coding RNA is filed under the name Mus caroli (Ryukyu mouse). RNAcentral's name for it is "lncRNA (MGP_CAROLIEiJ_G0004227.1)". Lineage: Eukaryota; Metazoa; Chordata; Mammalia; Rodentia; Muridae. The record is from RNAcentral.
CAGGAGCAAACUCUGACCUCACUUCAAGUGUUCUCCUAACCUACAUGAAAACAUGGUGUUCUCCCCUAUAAUCCAAGUUCACAAACAUGCAUUCUAAAACAGUUGCCUGGGGGUGAAUCUAUUACCUGCCACACUACAUUCAAAGAGAAGCCAACAUAAAUGGCACUAUAUACUAAUAUUUUGGUCUGUGGACCGGAAGUUUGGCCCAUCAUUUUUUUUUAAUAAUAUUAACACAGAGGUAAGAUUUCUGCUAGGAUUAACAGGUGGGGCCACUUAUUACCCAAUUAAACAAGUAAAAACUCUUAAAAAGUUUGUCCAAAAAGUUACAAACCGGAAUUCUCUUCUCCCUUCUACGGACAAUGAAGAAAGUGAGUAGGGUAGAAGGCAGCCCUCUGUCACUACAGUCACCUAGUGACACCACUGCAGAGCAGCAGUGGUCAUGGCGGGGUGGCUCAGCUUUAGAGCAAAUUAGGAUGGCUGGAGCAGUGUGCUCUGGGACCAAGUAUUAUCUUUAAUUUUUAGGAAAGCAGCAUAGAAAACGCUGUCUUAUGAACAAGGAUUUAUAAAGAUGUUUCAUCUACAUAAGUGAAUUUACUUUGCUUUCCCAAGUAAGAUCAGUAACAAACUUCACAGAGCUACGUUAUUCAACUGGCCUUGACAUUCAUUAUAUAAGCUCAGAUAGAGAAAUAAGGAACCUAGUUAUUUUAAUACCUUCUAUCAAAUACUAUCAUGUCAAGCGGGUUGCUUUUAGAAAGACAUACUAUACUCAACACAUUUAAUAUGAGAAAAAUGCUGUGAUGUAUUUAAUCCUACUAUAAACGUUAUUAGAGCCAACCGUAAACGCUCUUUGGCUUUGAAAGCUGCUACAUUAAGUGGAAUGAUCUAACUCAACUGUUCUUUCCCCUUCUGCAGUAUCACAUAAUGAACUUACUCAAACUUUACUUCUUUUAUGCCCUGCUUUAACACUGUAAAAGUAGCCACAUCUCACACAAAGAAGUGUCCCAAUUAAGCCUAUUUAGCAAGAUAAAGUUUGGCUUAUUAACUUUUUAAUACUAUUUUGACUAGUAUAUAAUAUAGUUUCUACUUAAGUGCUUUUAAUACUACAGAGAGAGAAAUGAAACCAGUAACUUUGGCAUUAGCAGGUAAUAACAUAAUCAAUUUGAAAUAUGGAACAGAUUGUCAAAGAAUAUCCUUUUUAAUAAGAGGUUCUCAUGAGUUUACUCUUGGUGGAAAAAAAAAGUUGACUAUCAGACUAGUUUAAAUAUUUGUCUUACACGCUUAGUCUGAGAAUGAAUGCACACUGUUAUUUUCUUCCUUUGAAUCUCAUUUUUCUAAAUAAGAAAGUUAAACUUAACAAAUUAAAAUUACACACUUUCAGACAUCAAUACAGGUCAAAACACCCCAAUUAAAUGACUCCUUGUUGGGGACUGAAACCAGGGCUUCACAACUGCUACACACGUGGUCUAACUACAAAGCCACACCCUAACCCCAGUUCUUAUUUACUAAACAAGAAUUGUAUCACCCAAAUAUGUAUAUUAGCUAAGUGUCUAUACAGUAAGACAGUGAGUUUCUAAUUAAAAAGGAGCAGCAUAAAUCUACAACACUAUUCAUUAUUCAUAAUGAUUUUAAUUAUUCCUAGGAAAGCUAACCUGUCUUCUUAUAAAACUUAACUUAAAAGGCAUAGAAUUUAUUCUCUUUAGCUAAAAAUAAAGCUAUCCAAUUAAAAACUUUCAUUCAACUUACUUUUUUGAAAAGAUUACCACAUUUAGUUCAAGUAUAUGCCCUUGAUCGCUUUCCAAGUCACAUAAUCCCUCACUUUAAGAUCACUACAUAUAAAAAAUAUUUUAAAUUACUCAGAGUACAAAAGUUUUAAUACUCAACGAGUAACUUUAAUAUUUCUCUGUAAAUAAACAAGGUCAGAAAGCAAACAACAGGUAUUUCUCACUUAACUAAAAUUAAUUUCCAGAUACAAUGUGUAAUAGGCCAACAUUAAAAUUUAGGUAAGCAAGAGAAUGUUAUCUUGUUAUCUUACUGUAAGCUCUGCUUACUGUGACUGCUCUGGCACCAGAGUACAGACAACUAGCUAAUCAUCAAAUUACUUACUGGCCUGGAUAAAGAAUAUAGGCAUUAUCUAUAGGUUUUAGCUGUUGGUUCUUAAAAAUGAAAAAAAAAUAAUAAAAAAUUAAAAAGCAGGGGCUGGAGAGAUGGCUCAGCGGUUAAGAACACCAACUGCUCUUCUGAAGUCUCUGAAUUCAAAUCCCAGCAACCACAUAGUGGCUCACAACCAUCUGUAAUGAGAUCUGACACCCUAUUCUGGAGUGUCUGAAGACAGCUACCAUGUACUCACAUAUAAUAAAUAAAUAAACAAACAAAUAAAUAAACCUAAAAAAAAGCUAACUGGUUCUUUAUAGUAUUAGUUUCUUUUAACAAAAAAAAAAUAGUUAAAUAGCAAAACAGACAUUAUUAGGCUAAUUAAAUCUGGAAAAAUAUAACUUAUUAACCCAAGAAAUAAAACAAAACAAAUGGAUAAAUAAAACAAAAUUAUGUGGUAAGGAAGUUUGUGGUUAGCCACAACUAAACAUGUUUUCUCGCUACAUUUACAACAAGCACACACUGGUGUUGGGCAUGGUAAUCCUAAAGCUUAGAAAUUGCCUACCUGUUUCUAAUUCUGUACUUUAGUUUUGUUACAUU